GCACAGUCUUUGGUAAAAAAAAUAAAGUCAAUCAAGCGCUUCCUGUAGCCAACGACGAGCUUCCUAUAACCAUCAAUGAGCUUCCUCCACCUCUGUACUGGCAGUUUGGCCCACUCCCCUUGUGCAAACUGCUACAGCAUCACACUACAAUCCAUGCUACAGCAUCACACUACAAUCCAUGCUAAAAUGUGGGAUUUUGUCAUAUGCGAAAAUGUGCCUUUUUAAAACGUUGUCUAACGUUAGUUAGUAGCCUUGUCAAGGAUGACAUAUUGGGACACAACACUUUAUAGACCCGGUGGAACUAAAGUAAAUCUUGAAUUUGGAGGUUUAUGAUCUUUAAUAUGCUGAUUAGCAUAGGGCUAACGUGUGCCAGGUUAUCUGAUGGGUCCAGCUGGUGAGAUUAGCAUAGGUCUGCCAUGUUACCUGAUGGGACCAGCGGGUGAGAUUAGCAUAGGGCUAACGUGUGCCAGGUUAUCUGAUGGGACCAGCUGGUGAGAUUAGCAUAGGGCUAACGUCUGCCAUGUUACCUGAUGGGACCAGCUGGUGAGAUUAGCAUAGGGCUAACGUGUGCCAGGUUAUCUGAUGUGACCAGCUGGUGAGAUUAGCAUAGGGCUAACGUGUGCCAGGUUACCUGAUGGGACCAGCUGGUGAGAUUAGCAUAGGGCUAACGUCUGCCAGGUUAUCUGAUGGGACCAGCUGGUGAGAUUAGCAUAGGGCUAACGUCUGCCAUGUUACCUGAUGGGACCAGCGGGUGAGAUUAGCAUAGGGCUAACGUGUGCCAGGUUAUCUGAUGGGACCAGCUGGUGAGAUUAGCAUAGGGCUAACGUCUGCCAUGUUACCU
Molecule: long non-coding RNA, 841 nt
Organism: Oncorhynchus tshawytscha (Chinook salmon)
Lineage: Eukaryota; Metazoa; Chordata; Actinopteri; Salmoniformes; Salmonidae
Source: Ensembl